UGACUAAAUAGCGUAGCCAGCUCUUCGGCC
RNAcentral lists this small RNA (30 nucleotides) under Bombyx mori (domestic silkworm). Its description in RNAcentral is "ovarian small RNA-8145". Lineage: Eukaryota; Metazoa; Arthropoda; Insecta; Lepidoptera; Bombycidae. The record is from RNAcentral.